Molecule: ribosomal RNA, 820 nt
Filed under: uncultured Anaerovibrio sp.
Lineage: Bacteria; Bacillati; Bacillota; Negativicutes; Selenomonadales; Selenomonadaceae
Description: bacterial SSU rRNA
Rfam family: Bacterial small subunit ribosomal RNA
Source: RNAcentral
CAGGCGCUGCUUACCAUGCAAGUCGAACGGAGAUUCAGCAAUGGAUCUUAGUGGCGAACGGGUGAGUAACGCGUAGGCAAUCUGCCUUCUAGAUGGGGACAACAUCCCGAAAGGGGUGCUAAUACCGAAUGUUGUAGUUGGUUCGCAUGGACUAGCUACUAAAGGUGGCCUCUGAAUAUGCUACCGCUAGAAGAUGAGCCUGCGUCUGAUUAGCUAGUUGGAGGGGUAACGGCCCACCAAGGCUUCGAUCAGUAGCCGGUCUGAGAGGAUGAACGGCCACACUGGGACUGAGACACGGCCCAGACUCCUACGGGAGGCAGCAGUGGGGAAUCUUCCGCAAUGGACGAAAGUCUGACGGAGCAACGCCGCGUGAGUGAAGAAGGUUUUCGGAUCGUAAAGCUCUUUCGUUAGGGACGAACGUGCUCUUUGUGAAUAAUGAGGAGUAAUGACGGUACCUAAAUAAGAAGCCACGGCUAACUACGUGCCAGCAGCCGCGGUAAUACGUAGGUGGCAAGCGUUGUCCGGAAUUAUUGGGCGUAAAGCGCGCGCAGGCGGGAUAUCAAGUCUGUCUUAAAAGUGCGAGGCUCAACCUCGUGAGGGGACGGAAACUGGUAUUCUUGAGUGUCGGAGAGGAAAGUGGAAUUCCAAGUGUAGCGGUGAAAUGCGUAGAGAUUUGGAAGAACACCAGUGGCGAAGGCGACUUUCUGGACGAUGUCUGACGCUGAGGCGCGAAAGCUAGGGGAGCGAACGGGAUUAGAUACCCCGGUAGUCCUAGCCGUAAACGAUGGGUACUAGGUGUAGGGGGUAUCGACCCCUCCUG